GAUGAACGCUGACAGAAUGCUUAACACAUGCAAGUCGACUCGAGUCUUCGGACUUGGGUGGCGCACGGGUGAGUAACGCGUAAAGAACUUGCCUCUUAGACCGGGACAACAUCUGGAAACGGAUGCUAAUAUCGGAUAUUAUGGUUUUUUCGCAUGGAGGAAUCAUGAAAGCUAGAUGCGCUAAGAGAGAGCUUUGCGUCCCAUUAGCUAGUUGGUGAGGUAACGGCCCACCAAGGCAAUGAUGGGUAGCCGGCCUGAGAGGGUGAACGGCCACAAGGGGACUGAGACACGGCCCUUACUCCUACGGGAGGCAGCAGUGGGGAAUAUUGGACAAUGGACCACAAGUCUGAUCCAGCAAUUCUGUGUGCACGAUGACGUUUUUCGGAAUGUAAAGUGCUUUCAGUCGGGAAGAAGUCAGUGACGGUACCGACAGAAGAAGCGACGGCUAAAUACGUGCCAGCAGCCGCGGUAAUACGUAUGUCACAAGCGUUAUCCGGAUUUAUUGGGCGUAAAGCGCGUCUAGGUGGUUAUGUAAGUCUGAUGUGAAAAUGCAGGGCUCAACUCUGUAUUGCGUUGGAAACUGUGUAACUAGAGUACUGGAGAGGUAAGCGGAACUACAAGUGUAGAGGUGAAAUUCGUAGAUAUUUGUAGGGAUGCCGAUGGGGAAGCCAGCUUACUGGACAGAUACUGACGCUGAAGCGCGAAAGCGUGGGUAGCAAACAGG
RNAcentral lists this ribosomal RNA (724 nucleotides) under uncultured Fusobacterium sp. Its description in RNAcentral is "bacterial SSU rRNA". It matches the Rfam family "Bacterial small subunit ribosomal RNA", at positions 28 to 776 of the family's 1533-position model. Lineage: Bacteria; Fusobacteriati; Fusobacteriota; Fusobacteriia; Fusobacteriales; Fusobacteriaceae. The record is from RNAcentral.